AACGAACGCUGGCGGCAUGCCUAACACAUGCAAGUCGAACGAGAUCUUCGGGUCUAGUGGCGCACGGGUGCGUAACGCGUGGGAAUCUGCCCUUUGGUUCGGAAUAACAGGUGGAAACGACUGCUAAUACCGGAUGAUGACGAAAGUCCAAAGAUUUAUCGCCAGAGGAUGAGCCCGCGUAGGAUUAGCUAGUUGGUGUGGUAAAGGCGCACCAAGGCGACGAUCCUUAGCUGGACUGAGAGGAUGAUCAGCCACACUGGGACUGAGACACGGCCCAGACUCCUGCGGGAGGCAGCAGUGGGGAAUAUUGGACAAUGGGCGAAAGCCUGAUCCAGCAAUGCCGCGUGAGUGAUGAAGGCCUUAGGGUUGUAAAGCUCUUUUACCCGGGAUGAUAACGACAGUACCGGGAGAAUAAGCUCCGGCUAACUCCGUGCCAGCCGCCGCAGUAA
Molecule: ribosomal RNA, 449 nt
Filed under: uncultured bacterium
Lineage: Bacteria
Description: partial 16S ribosomal RNA
Rfam family: Bacterial small subunit ribosomal RNA
Source: RNAcentral